Molecule: small nucleolar RNA, 140 nt
Organism: Panthera pardus (leopard)
Lineage: Eukaryota; Metazoa; Chordata; Mammalia; Carnivora; Felidae
Source: Ensembl
AGGCACUCCGUGGCCACCUCUGCAGCUCCUGGCCCGUGGCCUCAGGCGUCUGGUGGCAGUGCCAGAGCAAAGCCAGCUUGUUCAGAUCCGGGGCUGCCGAGAUGCCGCCUAAGCAGUCCCUUUGGCAACGAGUGACAUAC